RNAcentral lists this ribosomal RNA (154 nucleotides) under Ipomoea nil (Japanese morning glory). Its description in RNAcentral is "5.8S ribosomal RNA". It matches the Rfam family "5.8S ribosomal RNA". From Rfam's summary of the family: 5.8S ribosomal RNA (5.8S rRNA) is a component of the large subunit of the eukaryotic ribosome. It is transcribed by RNA polymerase I as part of the 45S precursor that also contains 18S and 28S rRNA. Functionally, it is thought that 5.8S rRNA may be involved in ribosome translocation. Lineage: Eukaryota; Viridiplantae; Streptophyta; Magnoliopsida; Solanales; Convolvulaceae. The record is from Rfam by way of RNAcentral.
GACUCUCGGCAACGGAUAUCUCGGCUCUCGCAUCGAUGAAGAACGUAGCGAAAUGCGAUACUUGGUGUGAAUUGCAGAAUCCGUGAACCAUCGAGUCUUUGAACGCAAGUUGCGCCGAAGCCGUUAGGCCGAGGGCACGUCUGCCUGGGCGUCA